Molecule: ribosomal RNA, 453 nt
Filed under: Triticum aestivum (bread wheat)
Lineage: Eukaryota; Viridiplantae; Streptophyta; Magnoliopsida; Poales; Poaceae
Description: partial small subunit ribosomal RNA
Source: RNAcentral
AUGGUCAAACAAGUUUUUGGACAAGAAAACCCUGAUAUUUCUUUCCAUAGGGAUCUUUUAGGACCUCUCCUGGCAGCAUGGAAUGAAUUACUCAUACGUCUGGAGGCUAUUUGGCUGUCAGGAGAACCGGAUAUCUUUCGAUGGAAGUUGCACCAGAAUGACAAGUUUUGAGUCAAGUCCAUGUAUGAUGUAAUGGUUCAUAGUGAGGUUCCGGUUGAUAACAGAAAAUUGUGGAAGCUCAAGAUUCCUCUAAGGGUGAAGAUAUUCCUCUGGUUCCUAAAUAGAGGGGUCAUUUUAAUUAGAGAUAAUUUGGCACGACGCAACUGGCAAGGUAGCAAGCAAUGUGCCUUUUUCCAACAUAAUGAGUCUAUUAAACACUUACUUUUUGAGUGUAAGUUUGCUCGGACAGUUUGGGCCAUAGUUCAAGUAGCUUCAAACUUGUACCCCAUGUAG